AAGUUAAAUGUCACGAUUUUUGGGAGGUAUUAUUUGGACCAAGUUAAACGUGAAGAUUUUGGGGAGGUAUUAUUUUGUCCAAGUUAAACGUGAAAGUUUUGGGGAGGUAUUAUUUUGUCCAAGUUAAACGUGAAGGUUUUGGGGAGGUAUUAUUUUGUCCAAGUUAAACGUGAAGGUUUUGGGGAGGCAUUAUUUUGUCCAAGUUAAACGUGAAGGUUUUGGGGAGGUAUUAUUUGGACCAAGUUAAAUGUCAAGAUUUUUGGUAGGUAUUAUUUGGACCAAGUUAAACGUGAAUUUCUUUUGGAGGUAUUAUUUGGACCAAGAUAAAUGUGAAGGUCUUUGGGAGGUAUUAUUUGGACCAAGUUAAACGUGAAUGUUUUGGGGAGGCAUUAUUUUGACCAAGUUAAAUGUCAAGAUUUUUGGGAGGUAUUAUUUGGACCAAGUUAAACAUGAAGGUCUUUGGGAGGUAUUAUUUGGACCAAGUUAAACGUGAAUGUUUUGUGCAGGUAUUAUUUUGACCAAGUUAAACGUGAAGGUUUUGGGGAGGCAUUAUUUUGACCAAGUUAAACGUGAAGGUUUUGGGGAGUUAUUAUUUGGACCAAGAUUUUGGGGAGGUAUUAUUUGGACCAAGUUCAUUGUCAAGAUUUUGGGGAGGCAUUAUUUUGACCAAGUUAAACGUGAAGGUUUUGGGGAGUUAUUAUUUGGACCAAGUUCAUUGUCAAGAUUUUGGGGAGGUAUUAUUUGGACCAAGUUAAAUGUCAAGAUUUUUGGGAGGUAUUAUUUGGACCAAGUUAAACGUGAAGGUCUUUGGGGAGGCAUUAUUUGGAACAAGUUAAAACGUGAAGGUUUUGGGGAGGUAUUAUUUCAACCAACAUAAAGGUGAAGGCUUUGGGGAGGUAUUAUUUGGACCAAAUUCAACAAGAACGUUUUGGGGAGGUAUUAUUUGGACCAAGUUAAAUGUGAAGGUUUUGGGGAGGUGCUAUUUGGACCAAGUUAAAUGUCAAGAUUGGGGAGGUAUUAUUUAAACCAAGUUAAACGUGAAGAUUUUGGGGAGGCAUUAUUUGGACCAAAUUCAACAAAAAGGUUUUGGGGAGGCAUUAUUUGGACCAAGUUAAAUGUGAAGGUUUUGGGGAGACAUUAUUUGGACCAAGUUAAACGUGAUGGUCCUGGGAGCCAUUAUUUGGCCUAAGUUAAAUGUCAAGAUUUUGGGGAGGUAUUAUUUGGACCAAGUUAAAACGUGAAGAUUUUGGGGAGGCAUUAUUUGGGGUUUUAUUUAUUUUUGUGGUAGAAUGAUUUCUUCUCCAAGGUCUGUCUGCCCUGGCUGAAGUACAACGGGCAGAUCUGUUCCAUCCUCCUCUUAGAACUGUGGUGAAUCCAUCAAAAUAUUGCUAAGGUGCCUCCCUUUCCUUCAAUUCACUCUUAUCCUUUGAGGUGGUGGAAACUUAUAUAUAGAAGCUGUAUUAGCAUUUUUAAUUUGUGAGAGUUACUGUUUUGCUAGACUUGUAAGAGAGCUAGGUUACGUCCCAAAUGGGACCCUAUUCCCAACAGUGCACUGCUUUUGACCAGAGCGCCAUGGGACCUGGUUGAAAGUAGUGCACUAUGUAGGGAACAGGGUGAUGUUUGAGAUGCAACCUUAAAACUGGUAUACCAAGUUUUGCUUUUUGUGUUUGUUUUCAGUUACGUACAUGUCACACUCCCUGCCUCAUGGCUGGACAGGCGUUUAUAUAGCUCAAGUUCUGCAAGUUACAUUUUCAUACAAAAUACACAAUGCCUUUCUAUUUCAUGUACCAUUAAAUUACAUAACCACUCUAUGUUUUUUUUUAUCUCAUUGAGUUAAAAUAUAUUUUACAAGAGAGACCUGUAAAGGGAGUACAAGGGGAAUGAUGUUAUUUCAAUGCCAUUGCUAUUCGCAGAAAUGUGGAAAGAUAAAUGUUCCACUGCUCUGUGAUAAGGAAAUACCAUCUGGAGCUCCUCCCUGAUCCACAAGAUAAAGACAUAGAGAGGGAGAGAGAGAGAGAGAGGAGAGGAGAAAUAAAGAGAGAGAUGAGAGAGAUAAAGAGAGAGAGAGGGAGGAGAGGAGAAAGAGAGAGACAGAAAGAGAGAGGAACGGAGAGAGAGGAGAGAGAGAGAGAGAAAGAGGAGAGGAGAAAUAAAGAGAGAGAGAGUAAAAAGACAGAUGAGAGAUAAAGAGAGAGAGAGAAAGAGGAGAAAUAAAGACAGAGGGAGGAGAGCGAUAGAGGGAGGAAAAAGAGAGCGAGAGGGAGGAGAGGAGAAAGAGAGACAGAAAGAGAGAGGAACGGAGAGAGGGGAGAGAGAGAGAGAGAAAGGGGAAAGGAGAGAUAAAGAAAGAGGGAGGAGAGAAGAAAUUGUAACUGGAGGAUUUAUAGUAAAAUAUGUCUAGUGAGAUCUAUCUCUCUUCAACAUCAGAUCACAAGUAUCUAUCCGGACCUAGUUUGAGUAGUGUAGUGUAUAGAGGCCCUAACUUCAUGGCCAGGUCUCCUUGCUUUCCUUGACCUUAAACCUCUAUUAAUUUAUUAUGACAUCCACGGUACUAAGUCAGCUGAUGACGUGCUAUCAAACACAUUGAUACGGUUGGCACUGAAAUCAAACCAUCAUAGUUUUAAUGACGUAUUACAGUUGGGGUCAAAUAUAUUGGCACUCUUGCAUGAUUCACUAUUUCUUCGAGAAUAAGUUGAAAUUUUAGAAAUGUAAAAUUCAUUUGAAUUUGGUUGGAGGCAAUGAUUGUCAUUUAGUGUGCACAUGAUCUAACCUGUGGUACAUUGCGGGUACCUACAAGGUAAAAGGAGCCCUUCAACCAGUUUUAAAAAAGAGGAAACUGAACAUUCUUUGAGGGUGCCAAUAUAUCAGAGCGAAUCUGUUUAUGUUUAGGGAAUAAACUGCAGCCAGCCAACGUAAAGGUAGAAUUAUUAAAGUAUGCAUCCCAAUUGGCACCCCAUUCCCUUUAUAGGGCACUACACUAUGGGUUGUGGUCAAAAGUAGUGCACUAUGUAGGGUUUUCAGGUCGUGUUGUGUACAGUAUACAGUACAAUGACAGAAAUGUUUUUUUUUGUAUUGGUGAUUUUCUUCUGAAGUUAUAUUAUACUGUAGAUGUUAAAUUAAUACAAUACAUUUCCAC
Molecule: long non-coding RNA, 3136 nt
Filed under: Salmo trutta (river trout)
Lineage: Eukaryota; Metazoa; Chordata; Actinopteri; Salmoniformes; Salmonidae
Description: lncRNA (ENSSTUG00000005923.1)
Source: RNAcentral